This 829-nucleotide long non-coding RNA is filed under the name Nicotiana benthamiana. Its description in RNAcentral is "long non-coding RNA (NBEN_LNC016493)". Lineage: Eukaryota; Viridiplantae; Streptophyta; Magnoliopsida; Solanales; Solanaceae. The record is from RNAcentral.
AUUCAAAAGUAUUCAUAGAUACCACCAGAUGCUCACAAUUACAAAGUCAAAUAAGCACACAUAAAAUCAAGGAGAAGGACACAGAGUUACCCUCCUUCUUCGCAACCGGAGAAGAUCGGCCUUCAAACACAGACAAACCCUAGGUGUAAUUUUUGAAAAGACAAACUUUACCGGAGAUCAGAUGAAGAACGUCGGAAACACACCCAAAACGUCCAGAAAAUGACAAUCAGGCCACCGGAAUGCGGUAAAACCGUAGGUUAAACCAUCAGAAACCCUAGAAGCCGAUAGGUCAUCAAAAUCAACCGUCCAAAAUCAUCACAAAGUCUUUCCAGAGUGUUGAAUAGAGGAAAAUACACUCGGAUACACUCAGAAAAGUCUCCGAUGGACUAAAAACAUCAUCGACGAAGCGGUCUCAGAAAUCACCCCCAAAAACCUCGAUACAGACUUCAUCCAGGACCACGAACACACAGAAACAUGAUCGGAUCGUCUUCGAGGCUCUGAUACCAUGUUAACAUCAAGAUUGAACGUAGAGUGUUGAAUAGAGGAAAAUACACACGGAUACACUCAGAAAAGUCUCUGAUGGACUAAAAACAUCAUCGAUGGAGCGGUCUCAGAAAUCACCCCCAAAAACCUCGAUACAGACUUCAUCAAGGACCACGAACACACAGAAACAUGAUCGGAUCGUCUUCGAGGCUCUGGUACCAUGUUAACAUCAAGAUUGAACGAAAGAAUCAUACAAAUUAUAGAGAGAGAAAGUAGAGAGAAGGAGGAGAGUAGGUGAGAAGUCUCUCGAAUGUCAGAGAGAGAAUUGUAUUAACCGAGAAGAAAA